RNAcentral lists this non-coding RNA (27 nucleotides) under Mus musculus (house mouse). The record is from RNAcentral. Lineage: Eukaryota; Metazoa; Chordata; Mammalia; Rodentia; Muridae.
UGCUUAUACCAUAUUUUAGGGCAUUAG